CAAUAGCGUAUAUUAAAGUUGUUGCAGUUAAAAAGCUCGUAGUUGGAUUUCGGGGUGGCCUGCCUGGUCCACCGCAAGGUGAGUACUGGUCAGCCGCCCUUCCUCUCGAAAGCCCCGACUGCUCUUCAUUGCAGUGGUCGGGUAGUUCGGGACGUUUACUUUGAAAAAAUUAGAGUGUUCAAGGCAGGCUCUCGCCUGAAUACAUUAGCAUGGAAUAAUGGAAGAGGACCUCGGUCCUAUUUUGUUGGUUUCUAGGGCCGAAGUAAUGAUUAAGAGGGACAGUUGGGGGCAUUUGUAUUUCGGCGCUAGAGGUGAAAUUCUUAGAUUGCCGAAAGACAAACUGCUGCGAAAGCGUCUGCCAAGGAUGUUUUCAUUGA
RNAcentral lists this ribosomal RNA (377 nucleotides) under uncultured eukaryote. RNAcentral's name for it is "partial 18S ribosomal RNA". It matches the Rfam family "Eukaryotic small subunit ribosomal RNA", at positions 592 to 976 of the family's 1831-position model. The record is from RNAcentral.